UACGUAGGGUGCAAGCGUUGUCCGGAAUUAUUGGGCGUAAAGAGCUCGUAGGCGGCUUGUCGCGUCGGCUGUGAAAACCUGGGGCUCAACCCCGGGCCUGCAGCCGAUACGGGCAAGCUAGAAUUCGGUAGGGGAGACUGGAAUUCCUGGUGUAGCGGUGAAAUGCGUAGAUAUCCGGAGGAACACCGGUGGCGAAGGCGGCUUCCUGGACCGACACUGACGCUGAGGCGCGAAAGCUAGGGGAGCAAACGGG
RNAcentral lists this ribosomal RNA (253 nucleotides) under uncultured bacterium. Its description in RNAcentral is "partial 16S ribosomal RNA". It matches the Rfam family "Bacterial small subunit ribosomal RNA", at positions 524 to 776 of the family's 1533-position model. The record is from RNAcentral.